UUUCUUCAAUCAAGGACCAUCUUUCCAGCUUCAAUACUAUUUCUUUCUCUUUAAGCUGCAGCUCAUCAUUGUAUGCCAGUGCCAUUUGAUUCUGUAUGUCUUUCAAUUCUUGUCUGCUAUGGUCAAUUCUCUGAGCAAUGUUCCUAAAAUCUUUAAUAUUUAAAGACUUUAGGGGCCCUUUCAAUGACUUGAGAUUGGACCAUACUGAUUUCAUAGAAAACAGAUUGUUGCAGUGCCAGUUGUCUUUUACCAGAUGCUGAAAGUCUUCAUGAUCAGCCCAUGUAUUGAAAAAUUUGAAAGGUAUCUUCCCUUUCCUAGUAUCUUCUGCCACUGUUAUUAUCAUAGGAUUAUGAUAAGAGAUUAGGGGAUGAUCAUAAAAAGUUUCCACAUGGCUUCACUUGAUCAUCCAUUCAUAGUUACCAAAUACUCUGUCCAGUCUGCUGCAUACUCUAUCAUUGCAUGUCUGCCUAUUUGUCCAAGUGAAAUAAUCACCUUUCCAAGGUAGUUCUGAAAGCCCAGCAUGUUGUAUGCUUUGAGUAAACUCUUGAGUCUCUGAAUACUUAACAUGAUUACUUGACUGUCUAUCACUGGCAUAUAACACAGCAUUGAAAUCUCCAGCAACUAACCAUUGAAUACUUAACAUGGUUACUUGACUGUCUAUCACUGGCAUAUAACACAACAUUGAAAUCUCCAGCAACUAACCAUGCCUCAGUAAUAGCAACUGAGAAAUCCUGCAGAUUUUUCCAUAGAGAUCUUCUCUGGUCCACCGCAUUAUAUCCAUAUACCACAGUUAGAUAGCAAGUGACAUCCCCAGUAUUGCUUCUGACUCUACAGUGUAGCAGUUGAGCCUCCUCCUGGAUACCAGUGACUGUGAGCAGCUUUCUAUCCCAUAAAAUCCACACUGUACCAUUUAUAGAACCAUUAUAAUUUGCUAGGACACCCCAACCAGAAAUCAACAGCUUAGCAAUUCUUCUUGCAUUUUUUUCUUUAACCUUAGUUAUCAUUAAU
Molecule: long non-coding RNA, 1008 nt
Filed under: Nicotiana benthamiana
Lineage: Eukaryota; Viridiplantae; Streptophyta; Magnoliopsida; Solanales; Solanaceae
Description: long non-coding RNA (NBEN_LNC019380)
Source: RNAcentral